GGAAAACUUUGAGGUGAGAGGGGAGGAAAUAAAAGGAAAAAGCCUAAGAGAGUGCCCUAUCCCUAUUCAGUUUCUCUAAAUUACUAUAUCUGUGAAGGGGCCCUCUUCACACCUGACAGCUACAGUCCUUCCUGUAACAAACUUUUUGAAUUAAUUAUACUUACAUAGGGCACUAUCAAUCUAAACAUUUUCACUAGGACAAGUAGUUGUAAUUGUGCAGUAGAACUUCCUUGUCCUCUCAGCUCCAUGUGCAUCACCUGGGCAGCUCAUAAAUCUGCUCCAAAGGGUUGGGGAGACCCCUGAAACAGAUUUAGGGGUCACACGUGGGCUCAUGGAUAGCAGAGAUGGAAUUCCCUUGGGCAACUAAAACUUCCUUUGCUGGAUGAACUGUUUAGUUGGAUAAUAAAUUGAUACCAAGUUGAUAUCAGUAUCAACAUUUGAAUGACACAUGAACACUACUGGCUUGCAUAAGGGGUGGGGGAACUUUUUUGUACCGUAUCCUAGAUCCUUAUCAGGAUCAGCCUCAUGGGCCAAAUUUGACUAGGAAGAGCUAUCCACCUGUUAGUCACAUGGCAUCAUUAUGACACUCUCUGCCAAACCUCUCUCUGAGGCCCCUCUACUCCGCAUUUAAUGCCACUUUAGCUUCAAAGAGCAAAGGGCUUUAACCUCUGCCUCUCAGCUGAUAAGUGAAGAUUAGCUUCUUCUGCCAUGGCUAUGCAAUCCUUUCCGCUGCUCAGAACAGGGUGCACAGCCCAUGCAGGAUUAAAUUCUGUCCUCCCGCCCAUCAGCUGAUGUCACCAGUGAUGUCAGUUGAUGGGCAGGUGGGUAUGGUUUGGAGAAAAUGGUCUCAUGGGCCAAACUGAACUCUCUGGUGGGUCAUGAUUGGCCCAUGAGCCAGAUGUUUCCCACCCCUUGGGUUUAUACUGAGUUGCUGUAAAAUUUCACUCCAUCAGUUUUAAUGUGCAUAUGGUUUAUUACACAGAACCAAGGAGUUCAACAACCAAAGAGCCGAAGCAAGUUUCUAAGAUAACCCCGCCCCUGAAAGAAAGAAAAAACACCAUCAAACAUCAGCUUUUCAAAUUUCAAACUCCCAUGCCAGAAAUAAUAUUAGGAAAACUCAGAGAUUUCUUAAUACUCUUUCUGGCAUUAGUGUUGUAGUUUCAGAUUAGUAACAGAAGCUUGAUUACUUAUGCUUCAGGUGCCCCACAGGAUGGCCCAUUAGUAGCUAAAAGGCUUUCUGCAUGUUGCCAAAUCAUGUGUAGCAUGGGAGGACUUGGGAAGUCUCUGGCAAUACAUUGGCAUAGCAGGUGUCCCUUCUGGUCUCCAGAUGGAGGCAUUGUUUUCUCCUGGAUUUUUUAAUAAUGUAGACUAGAACAGCUUGCGAAAAAAAGAGAAGAUAAAAGGAACUAUGGAAGGAGAGAAUGGGAAGUCACGAAAUUUUAUUUAUUUAUUUAUUUUGUUUUCUAUUCUUUUAUGUUAUUUCAAAAUUUUAUCCGAUAUUAUUUCAGAGAUUGUUUUUCCUAUUAUUUUUGUAUUAUUUCUGUUUAUGCUCUGCUGAUAUUGAAAUGUAUCAGAAAUGCAAAUCAUAAUAAUAAAAAAAUAACUUUCAUUUGGCAUAACUGUAAGACUAAGGAGCACUUCAUUUACAAUAGGAGGAUAGGAAAAACAUUGGAGAAAUGCUUUUCACAAAACUGAGUUGCAGCCAGCCCUGAGUGGUGAGCUGUGUGCAUUUCCCCCAUUUAAUCCAACGGAAGACUGGUGCAGUGAUAAUACAUCUGCAGAGCAAAUCAAGUGAAAUGUGAGUUGUUGUUUUUUAAAUCUACAUAACAUUUGCAAGAACAGCAGUACUGGAAUGUGUGUGUGUGUGUGUGUGUGUGUGUGUGUGUAGGUAGGUGAUAGAUAGAUGAUAGAUAGAUAGAUAGACAGAUAGACAGAUAGAUAUAGAGAUACACAUACAUAAAAACACAAUAUAGGUGAUAUAUAGAUAUGUCAAUAUAUUGACAUAUAUUGAAAGAAAGGAAGCAAAGGAAAGAGCACAACAGGUCCAUUCAACUUUCACUUAAAAUGGGUUUAAAAGUAGCUGAUGCUAAUAUAGGAAAAAGAUAGUUAUUAACAUUGCAAACUGACGCUAAUAUUGGAGAAAUAUAUAGUUCUAGACAUUGCUAGAUGCAGAUCAACAGAUAUUACUUAUGUAAAAUAUUGUUAUCUUACCUGCUAACUGUUUUUGAGGUAAUUUACAAUAAAUAUGGUGAAACAGAUAAUCAGAAUGUUGGUCUCUCACUAACUGGGGGCUUCCUCAGCCAGGUUCUUAAUGAUGUGCUUUCUGGCUUGCUUCACUAAGAAGGAACUAGGGGAGAAAAUGUGUUUAUAAUUGUUUCUUCAGUGAUCAGAUGUUCCAGCUGUCUCUUUUGUUGAAUCACUGGAUACAUAAAUCCUUGAGGAACUAGAAAUGCCUAGAAAUGAGGAACACUAGAAAUGUUUGGCAAACAAGCCAGUUGUUGGAAUCCCGUAGAGGGCUUUCAAAACAGCCAGAUGUUGGAAUCCCUCAGAGGGGAAGUCUUCCUCAUUUGGUCUCCUGGCUCCUGACUACAGACACAAAUAGCAGCCAUUGUGGGAGGCUGUUUGGAAGUCCAUCUCCAUCCUGUAAAAUAUUUAUGGUGCAAGUGCUGAUCAGAUCCUUUACAAAGAAUACACAUUAUAGUUCCUAACACAUGUAAGAAGAGUUCAACCUCUCUCUUUACCCCCAUUCAAACUGCCAGCAAUUAUCUCUAUAAUCUAAUCUUCCAGAUUUACAGCACUGCAGAAACAAUGCAUAUAAUAGAGGAAUAGUUAUAUAAAAAAAAUCAAAAUCAGCUACAACCACCUUUAAAUAUAAUAAAGUGAAACAGUUAUCUUUCUAGGGGGAAAUAGCAAAGAAGAAUGCAGUCUCAAAGGAGCUUCAAACAACAUUAUUAAAAACUCUCCUCUCUGGAGAACUGUGAAAUGUAGUAAUUGUCACAUGCAAACCACACAAAAGUAAGGAUAAUGGGAGAUAGCUAUUUCAUAUAGACAUACAGUAUUUCAGAGGGGGAAGGUGAAUCUAUAAAUACACUCCAGUGCCUUACAGGAUUGCAUUCACAAACACAGAGUAUAACUGUUUCAGCCAUUGCAAAUAUUUGAUUUAAGAAACCAGAACAAGAGACAGGAGUACCAAGAAAUAGAUGUAUUUCAAAUAAAUACUUCAAAUAUUAAACCCUCUCAUAGAGUGCAACUUCUUCACCUUUUGCUUAGUCAUUUUCUGCUUAUAUUUAUUUCUCCAGAUAAAUGGUUUUGGGCUGACUCAUAAGGUAAAAGGUAUGUCCAUUUUGCUUGGUCAGCACUUGGGACAUCAAUGGCUACUAGUCACAGCAGCUAUGCUUCAAAAUGCCGGUUGCUGGAAACCACAGGAGGGGAGAGUAUGUUUGUACUCAGCUCCUGCUUGCUGCCUUUUCAUAGGCAUCUGGUUGGCCAUGGUGAGAUCAUAAUCCAUCAGGCCCUUCUUAUAUUCUUUGAUUUCCUUUUAGGAAGCACAUCCUAAACCAAAUGAGCCAUAAUGGAAGAAACAUAUUCACAUUAGGUUUGAAACAGAUGAAUUAAAAACUCAUAAUCUUUCCCAUGCAGAAGCAUGUGCCAUGAUAAAAAUAUAUAAAGUCAUGGGUUUUAGAAGAAAAAUGUCAAUGCUAUACACAACCUGAUACACCAACUCUAUUUUUUUCCUCGCUUAAAAGAAUACUGUUGAACGUUCCACAUAUCUCAGAUACCCUUCUGCAUUUUUAUUUUUAUUUUAAUGUGUAGCUUUGGAAUUUUCAAUCCAUGGAUAUUUGCAGGGGCCCUAUUUUUUUACAUUCACAAAAUAUGAGAACUAGGACAUACUUGAUGACAUGAUAGGUUUAGAUUUACAAACACACAAAAAUCUGAAACAUUCUGAAACAACCCAUUGAAAUCAUGCUUAGGCUUUUUAGCAAUGGCAAGCUAGAUGUUCCUAGAUGCCACCAUGGAUGGAGAAGCAAGUUCAGGUUCAUGUCUCCUCCAUGAUUCUAUAAUUCUGCAACUCUCUGAAUUCCAUGCAUAAAUAAGUAAGCACAAGCACUUUCCACAAUAUAGAUAAUUUAAUGUUUUGCAAGUGUGAUGCAACACUGAAAAUUUGGGAAUGCAUACAGUUCAUGAUCGUCUCAGAAUCAAAGUUAAUUUGAUUGUGAGUGAUGUCAAGGUUAGUAGCCCAGAGUCUCCAUUAAUUUAGUUUAGGGGGAAAAACAUCAUCAGUAAAUUAGUGUAAAUUGGUAAAGUAACUGUAUUAGUGGAUUCCAGGCUUACCUGUCACAUUUAAUCAGUUAACUGCAUGUGUGCUACUGUGCAUGUAAAGAAUUUCAGAAAGCUAUCUCUGUACAUGUAUAUGUUCAGAAAUCAUUACAAUUAGAAAUAUAAUUUACUUGGACUUAGUUCAGAUAGAUUUUAGUUUUUGCCCCCCUCUGAGAUCCAUCGAUGGAAGAGCAGUGAAUUAGGAGCUGACUGUUCAAAUCAGCGGUAAUGCAUGAACACUUACUCCUUUCAUCAGUAAUGAAAUGUCAGUCCCCUGUGCUGUUGAUUCUAGGCAAGCUGUUUCAAGAAUACAUAAUGGGGGACAGUCUUGUUUUACCCUAAGCAUGUGCUGUUCAACUGUAAUGAAGAUCAGAGAAUCAGAACCAGGCAGAUCUUAUUUACAGAACAUCCUUUUAAAGCUUCAGGUGUAACUUCAUCCAGGAAAACCACUUUUUGUUGUCUAGAAACACAGCAGGUAAGCUUUUAAUGACUGUUUGGCCACUGAGUUGGGUUUCUUUGGGGUAAGCCAGAAGUGACAACUAGGUUGCUCAAUAAAAUAAGUGGCAAACAUCAAAAUAAUUGCCAUGACUCAGACUCACUUGUACAGUGUUCUAAUAAUCCCCCGUAUUGAUUUUAUUUGAUGUUUUCUUGUUUAAAACACUCUGAUGCAUUUUUUCUCCAGAUCUUGUUUCACAUAAGCUUUUUCAUACAUCGUACUUUGCUGCAAAAUGUAACAAUAACAAUAAUAAUGAACCUCUUUGGAAACCGAUAAGUUUUCUUUAUACUUCUAAUUAUGAAACUUACUAAAAUUUUGAAGAAUGUUUUCUUGCUUUCUUCCCCCUCUCUCUGCCUGCUACAUUUCCUUACAAUAAGCUAUCUAACUUAAGAACAUAAGUCCUGAAGAAUCAGGACAAAGGCCUGUCUAGUUAAGCAUCCUGUUUACACAACCAGAUGCUUCUGAGAAGCUCACAAAUGAAACAUGGAUGCAGUAGCACUCUUCUGCUCCAUGUUCCUCAGUGGUUAAUAUCCAGAGGCAUGGGGAUCCCAAUCCUGGAUAUCAUAAGCAGUAUAAAGGUAAAGGGACCCCUGACCAUUAGGUCCAGUCGUGACCGACUCUGGGGUUGCGGCGCUCAUGUCACUUUAUUGGCUGAGGGAGCCGGCGUACAGCUUCCGGGUCAUGUGGCCAGCAUGACUAAGCCACUUCUGGUGAACCAGAGCAGCGCACAGAAACGCCAUUUACCUUCCCACCAGAGCGGUACCUAUUUAUCUACUUGCACUUUGAUGUGCUUUCAAGCUGCUAGGUUGGCGGGAGCAGGGACCGAGCAACGGGAGCUCACCCCGUCGCGGGGAUUCGAACCGCCGAUCUUCCGAUCGGCAAGUCCUAGGCUCUGUGGUUUAACCCACAGCACCACCCGCGUCCCCAUAAGCAGUAUACUAGUAGCCAUAAGCUACACAUCCAGUGAUUGCUAAGCUUUGCUUCCUGAAGCCCAUAAAAGAGGGUUUUGGCAGAGCUCCAUCCCUCAAAUUACUGGAAUAAUAAUGUCUGCCAGGUUGGAAAGGAGUGCUCACCAGUAGUGGGAUGUGUAGUGGGGCAACUAUAGAGCCACCCUCUUGACAUUGGCGUCACUGAUGAUUAGCUGGGCAGGACUGUAGCAGGGUGGCAGUGAGGCAAGGGCAACAACGGUGUGUUGGUGGAAGUAACAGAUUGGUGACAGCAGACCUGUUGGUAAAACUGCUGAGCUCUGACCUCACCACUGCCCUGCUCCAGCGUUGUCAGUGUCAAAAGGUUGCCUCUACAGCUCUACCCCACCCCACAAGCUGCUAUUGCUGCUCAUGUUCAAAUCAGAGAUGAAAAUUAGGUGCUUAUGCACACCAUCCCUUGACUGAAGUCCACUACCCAGAACAGUUUUCUACACAAAGUGAAUCCAUUGGUUCUGAAUCCAUGUUACUCAUGCCAGAAGAAACAGAUUUAUUACACUUUAGAAAUGAUAGAAUACACAGGGGGUAGGGGGAAAAUGUGUGAACCAGCUAUUAGUUGUAGACUUUCCAAGGUAACAUUAAAUGUGUUCGUAGAGAGAGUGGUUGCCAUUCAAGAAACCGUUACUUAAAGUACAUCUAUUGAAAUGAAUGGCCACAACUAAUAGGUCCAAAAAUUUCAAUGGGUCUGCUCUGAGUAAACAUUAGUUGACUACCACUGAGUAUCUGGACAUACAUUUUAAUGUUAACUAUGGAAUAGAUGUUAAAGAUGUAAGUUUAAUAUGCAUAAAGUGAAAUGUUUAUGUGCACUGAAGUAAAAGAAAAACAACUUAUGCAAAGGUUUGCAUUUGCAAAGAGAAAUUUGCAUUAUACACAGGAGGUUUCAUUAAAUACUGCAGAAAAGGUUGGAUGUUUCAAUUUCAGUCUUUAGGCUAAUGGAUGUCUUAUCCUGAAAACCUGCAGAUCUCUCUCAGCAGGAAUGUGUAACCUGAGAACACAGCUUUUCUGUCAGUGAUGGAGCCAGUAGCAGCAGAGGCUAAGCUGCAUGAUGAAGAGCAAGCAAGUUGCUUGGGAUCCUUCUCAGAGACAGAAAAGUUACUGAACUGUUUUAAUGACAAAAAGAAGACAGGGC
This is a non-coding RNA of Podarcis lilfordi (Lilford's wall lizard), 6925 nucleotides long. The record is from the annotation of a GenBank genome assembly. NCBI's taxonomy places the organism in Eukaryota, Metazoa, Chordata, Lepidosauria, Squamata, Lacertidae.